RNAcentral lists this ribosomal RNA (778 nucleotides) under uncultured Neocallimastigales. Its description in RNAcentral is "partial large subunit ribosomal RNA". It matches the Rfam family "Eukaryotic large subunit ribosomal RNA", at positions 26 to 644 of the family's 3401-position model. The record is from RNAcentral. Lineage: Eukaryota; Fungi; Neocallimastigomycota; Neocallimastigomycetes; Neocallimastigales.
CGCAUCUGUGCAUGCAGCAUAUCAAUAAGCGGAGGAAAAGAAACUAACAAGGAUUCCCCUAGUAACGGCGAGAGUUGAAGCGGGAAGAGCUCAAAUUUGAAAUCUUAAAGGGUUUCCCUUUACGAAUUGUAGUUUAAAGAAGUGUUUUCUGUUGAGGUUUUGGUAAAAGUUCUUUGGAAUAGGACAUCAUAGAGGGUGAGAAUCCCGUAUUUGACCUUUACUUUCAACUUUGUGAUACACUUUCAAAGAGUCGGAUUGUUUGGGAAUGCAGUCCAAAAUGGGUGGUAAAUUUCAUCUAAAGCUAAAUAUUGGCGAGAGACCGAUAGCGAACAAGUACCGUGAGGGAAAGAUGAAAAGAACUUUGAAAAGAGAGUUAAACAGUACGUGAAAUUGUCAAAAGGGAAGCGUUUGACACCAGUGUUGUUUUUCUGAAAAUCAAUUAAAGAACUGUUUAUGCUAAGCUGUUUAGACUUUAUCAGCUAUCUGUUUAGUUUUGAGCUUUUCUUUAAUGCACUUUUCAGUUAACAAGUCAACAUCAAUUUCUUUUGCUGUAAAAAAGCUUGAGGAAGGUGGCUUGAGAUUCGUCUUAAGUGUUUAUAGCCUCUUGCCUAUGCAGUCGGAGAGAUUGAGGUCUGCAGCGUAGGAUCCUUCGGGGCUAAAUGCAUUUGUGCUAAGUUAUAGCAUUUUAUAGACAACUUGUUGACUAUGAUUUGUCUUGUAGCUUACUCGCUUAUGUUAUUUUACCUACGCUUAGGAUGUUGAAUCUGUGCGAGACUAC